RNAcentral lists this ribosomal RNA (510 nucleotides) under Cyrtonus strictus. RNAcentral's name for it is "partial 16S ribosomal RNA". The record is from RNAcentral. Lineage: Eukaryota; Metazoa; Arthropoda; Insecta; Coleoptera; Chrysomelidae.
UGUAAAAUUUUAAGGGUCGAACAGACCCAAUAUCAUAGCUUCUACACCAAAAAUUUAUUUUAAUCCAACAUCGAGGUCGCAAUCUUUUUUUUUAAUAUGAACUUUCUAAAAAAAUUACGCUGUUAUCCCUAAGGUAAUUUAAUCUUAUAAUCAAAAAUAUUGGAUCAUUUAUUCAUAAAUUAAUGACUUAAAAUAAAAAAAGUUAAUUAAAUUUUUCAAUCACCCCAAUUAAAUUAUUUUUUAAAAAUAUUAAAUUAAUACUUAAAUAAUAAAUUUUUUAAAUAAUCAAACUCUAUAGGGUCUUCUCGUCUUUUAAUAAAAAUUAAGCUUUUUAACUUAAAAAUAAAAUUCUAUUUAAAAUUUAAUAGAGACAGCUAUUUUCUUAUUCAACCCUUCAUUCCAGUUUCCAAUUAAAAAACUAAUGAUUAUGCUACCUUAGCACGGUCAAUAUACCACGGCCAUUUAAUACUUCAGGGGGCAGGUCAGACCUUAAAUUAUUAACAAAAGGAC